This 235-nucleotide ribosomal RNA is filed under the name uncultured bacterium. RNAcentral's name for it is "partial 16S ribosomal RNA". It matches the Rfam family "Bacterial small subunit ribosomal RNA", at positions 96 to 334 of the family's 1533-position model. The record is from RNAcentral.
UGGCGGACGGGUGAGUAAUGUCUGGGAAACUGCCCGAUGGAGGGGGAUAACUACUGGAAACGGUAGCUAAUACCGCAUAACGUCGCAAGACCAAAGAGGGGGACCUUCGGGCCUCUUGCCAUCGGAUGUGCCCAGAUGGGAUUAGCUAGUAGGUGGGGUAACGGCUCACCUAGGCGACGAUCCCUAGCUGGUCUGAGAGGAUGGCCAGCCACACUGGAACUGAGACACGGUCCAG